This 866-nucleotide long non-coding RNA is filed under the name Ananas comosus (pineapple). RNAcentral's name for it is "long non-coding RNA (ACOM_LNC035493)". Lineage: Eukaryota; Viridiplantae; Streptophyta; Magnoliopsida; Poales; Bromeliaceae. The record is from RNAcentral.
UAUAUGUCGUUUAAUGAUAAAUUUUUAUGAUAAAAUAAAAAUAACAUCGCAGAAUAAUUAAGUACUACUUUCUAAACUACCGGUGGCAAAUUGAAACCGCGCCAAGCGACAGGGGGUUAAAGUAAAGUUUACACUAAUAAAUUAUAAGGAGAAUAAUAAACUGAGGGAAAAUUGAUUUUCCUUCUACUACUAGAUACACGUUAAACUACAGAGUACUAAAGUAAGAAAGUGCGAAACCACAGAGAUGAUAUUUGAAGUUUACCCUUUCUAUUAAUUAUACAUUAUAUAUGAGCAUUUCUUAUACAUUCAGUGUACAACUUUUUUUACACUAUGAAAUUUUAAUUUUGUUAUAUCAAUAGGGUACUAAAGUGAGAAAAUGAAAACACAUGAUACUAACUUUAUAUACUUUAAACCACAUGGCACUAAAGUGAGAAGGUGGAAAAGUACAGAGGUGGUAUUUGAAGUUUAUCCUUUUUGUUAAUUAUAGAUUGUAUAUGAGUAUAUAUUAUACAUUCAGUGUACAAUUUUUUUUACACCGUAUGAAAUUUUAAUUUUGUUAUAUCAACUAUUAAAAAAUAGAAUUGGUUCAUGCGCUAAAAUUUUACACUUAGUAUAGAAAAAAAUAAAAAAGAAUUCAAAUUAUAUAUUGUAUAUGAACAUGUUUUAUACACUUGGUGUAUAAUUUUUCUUUACACCGUAUGAAAUUAUAAUUUUAUUAUAUCGACUAUUAAAAAAUAAGAUUGGUCUAUACGAUAAAAUUUUACACUCGGUGUAAGUAAAGAAAAAAAAAAGGGUGUUGAGUGGAAAAAAAAAAGAAGAAAAGAAUGUAUGGUGUGUGUGUGUGUGUGUGUGUGUGUGUGUGUGUG